GUCUAUGGCCAUGCCACCCGGAACAAACUCGAUCCCGUCUGAUCUCGGAAGCUAAGCAGGGUAGGGCCUGGUGUACUUAGAUGGGAGACCACCUAGGAAGACCAGGUGCUGUAGGUG
RNAcentral lists this ribosomal RNA (117 nucleotides) under Pteropus alecto (black flying fox). The record is from RNAcentral. Lineage: Eukaryota; Metazoa; Chordata; Mammalia; Chiroptera; Pteropodidae.